This 91-nucleotide transfer RNA is filed under the name Gammaproteobacteria bacterium. RNAcentral's name for it is "tRNA-Ser". It matches the Rfam family "tRNA". Rfam says of the family: Transfer RNA (tRNA) molecules are approximately 80 nucleotides in length. Their secondary structure includes four short double-helical elements and three loops (D, anti-codon, and T loops). Lineage: Bacteria; Pseudomonadati; Pseudomonadota; Gammaproteobacteria. The record is from RNAcentral.
GGAGAGGUGUCCGAGUGGUUGAAGGAGCACGCCUGGAAAGUGUGUAUACGUUAAUAGCGUAUCGAGGGUUCGAAUCCCUCCCUCUCCACCA